CAGCCGCCACGGGAAUACAUAGGUGGCAAGCGUUGUCCGGAGUUAUUGGGCGUAAAGGGCUCGCAGGCGGUUUCUUAAGUCUGAUGUGAAAGCCCCCGGCUCAACCGGGGAGGGUCAUUGGAAACUGGGAAACUUGAGUGCAGAAGAGGAGAGUGGAAUUCCACGUGUAGCGGUGAAAUGCGUAGAGAUGUGGAGGAACACCAGUGGCGAAGGCGACUCUCUGGUCUGUAACUGACGCUGAGGAGCGAAAGCGUGGGGAGCGAACAGGAUUAGAUACCCCAGUAGUCCCUGUCUCUUAUAU
RNAcentral lists this ribosomal RNA (301 nucleotides) under uncultured bacterium. RNAcentral's name for it is "partial 16S ribosomal RNA". It matches the Rfam family "Bacterial small subunit ribosomal RNA", at positions 509 to 809 of the family's 1533-position model. The record is from RNAcentral.